GUGUACACUUCUGUAGCACAUAUACUAAAAAUGGAAUGGUUCAGAGAAGAUUAGCAUGGUCCCUGUGAAAAGAUGACAUGCAAAUUUGUACAGCAUUCCAUAUUUUU
RNAcentral lists this small nuclear RNA (107 nucleotides) under Notamacropus eugenii (tammar wallaby). Lineage: Eukaryota; Metazoa; Chordata; Mammalia; Diprotodontia; Macropodidae. The record is from RNAcentral.